UACGGGGGGGGCAAGCGUUGUUCGGAAUUACUGGGCGUAAAGGGCUCGUAGGCGGCCAACUAAGUCAGACGUGAAAUCCCUCGGCUUAACCGGGGAACUGCGUCUGAUACUGGAUGGCUUGAGUUUGGGAGAGGGAUGCGGAAUUCCAGGUGUAGCGGAUGGAAAUGCGUAGAUAUCAGGAAGAACACCCGUGGCGAAGGCGGCUCUCUGGGACGGUACUGACGCUGAGACGCGAAAGCGUGGGGAGCGAACAGGAU
RNAcentral lists this ribosomal RNA (257 nucleotides) under uncultured bacterium. Its description in RNAcentral is "partial 16S ribosomal RNA". It matches the Rfam family "Bacterial small subunit ribosomal RNA", at positions 524 to 778 of the family's 1533-position model. The record is from RNAcentral.